Molecule: long non-coding RNA, 3188 nt
Organism: Neopsephotus bourkii (Bourke's parrot)
Lineage: Eukaryota; Metazoa; Chordata; Aves; Psittaciformes; Psittacidae
Exons: 4
Source: RefSeq, a predicted model, not a curated record
GCGGUAUCCCAUGGUAACGUACACGGAGCCGGGGAAACACCGAUGUGUGCUACUGCAUGAAGAACAGCCUGCUUCAGCUGUGCUGGGAGCUGCCAGUUGUUGGUCUGGUCCUGUCUCCCUCCUGAAAGAAAAAGGAGCAACCUCCCAGAGGAAGGCAUCUUGCACCCUUAUCGUGCUUCUGAAACAGACCACUAGCACUGAUUAAUACCAGUAAGGGCUGGGUGAAUCCACAGAGUGUAUGCGAGGCUCUUUUGAACAGUCACCAGCAGAUGAAGUAAUUGGAGGCCUCACCCACAGCACAGUUUAUUCAGCCAGCUGCUGUAGGUCUUCUAACAGAGUUGCUUUUUAAUAUGCACAAACAUCUCACUAAGUCAAGCACUGAAAAAUGUCACUUUGAUUUUGACAUGCUGCCCACAAAGUAUGAUGUGUUUUCUGUUGUGUGCUGUUGUCAAGGUGAAGAAAUGCACUAACGUGGGGUUUUAAUUACUUUGAUUUCAAGCUCUGAUACCAGCUGUAAGGGAAACAUCGCCCUAGAUGAAUAAAGAGAUGGUGCAACAGCUGAUCAGGCCUCUGGUGAGGAGCCAAGCACUUCUAAUGCAAGGAGGUGAUUUCAGUCUUGUUUCAAUCUCUAGUUUCUUCGAUCCUGUUACUCAGUUCCUACAGAGGCUUCUGCUGGGCGCAAGCAAACACCAGGAGACAAGAAAAGACAUGUAUUGUCUGAAAUGCAGUGGUCAGGAGGUCUAAGAUCAUAUAUUGCUGAAGAGAUGGUCAGCUCAAGAUGGUAGGUACUCAAGCCUACAUGGUGGAGAUGGAUGGAGGGAAGCCAAUAAAAAAGAGGUAAGUAUUUGCCAGCAGUACAAAGGUGUGGAUAACGCUGGUGAAAACACCCAGGAUGUGAUGUAGGCAGAAAAAAGACAUGAGAGAGAGAGAGGAGCUUCUUCAGGAGUAUCUCAAAAAGCAGCAGGAUUAGAGAAUGAGUCUACAGGCUGUGAAAGGAGAAGACUUACAUAGAUCCAGCAAAGCUGGAGGGCUGAAUCCCUGUGGAUGAUUCAAGUAAAUGCUAAUGGUGAAUUCCAUAUGCAUCAGAUACACCUGGUCUCUACACAGUGAUUCUUUGCUGCCCAACAGGGGAAUCUGUUGUGUUUUUCAGUAACUUCCCAUGUUGCUGUUUAAUUUAAAAGGGAAGCUCAGAGUCCAUGGUUGAUGAUAUUGGAGUUGCUGCUCGGACCAGACUGUUUCCCAUUACACUUCCCUGAAAGCAUCCCACUAGAAUCCCUCCUUUUGUAAUGUUAGGGUGGCAGUGGCCGAAUUCAAAGGGAGUGCUGCACAUAACAAAGCUAGCCUGGAAAGCUGACAUAAAAAAGCCAGAGGCCCUGAUGACUCAGGUAUUAAUGUACUCCACUUCAUCAGAACAAGCUGCAUCUGAUAAACUGUGCUCACUCCAGAUACAGAAGCAAGAGCUUUUAAUUUGAUGCAGCCUCUCUACUGGAGACUGACAGUACCAAGAAGAAACUGGGUUAAACGCAGAUACAUCUGCAGCAUGUCUAAUGUGCUGAGGAAUGUCUUAGAGCCAGAAGGAGCUCCACUACCACUGCAGAUAUGGAGGAAUAAAUGUUGUAGCAUUUAGGAACAAUGGGAGAGAUUUAGCAUCCCUGCUUUAUGGGCCGCCUUCAUGUUGUGACAGUGUCUUGGUGGUGUCUGCUAAGAAACUGUCCUAGACAGAGCUAUUAACCUCCACUACCCUGAUACAGCCACUUUUCCUUCCUGCAGUCCCCUUCUUCUCACACUUUGCACGCCCUGGCAUGCAGUAGUGGCCCAGCUCAUUCUGAUCACUGAAGGAAAAUGGGUAUUGUCCUCCAGUGUUAGACCAGGCAACCAUCCUGCCCUGUAUCUUGCUUCUAGCAAGGAUGCAGCAUGUCAGGUGGUGGCCUGUUAGCACAGAGGUGGGCCAGCCAUCUGUCUUCUCUACUUGGGUCUGAUCCUGAGCUCUAAUAGCUAGCAUUUGGUUCAAAAUUGUCAUCUGUGUUAAUUUUGAAAGCCCCUAGUGUUGCUCUAUGAAACUGCCAACCUGUUCUAUGUCUUUCUAAGCCCCUGUCUUGAAAGGUUUCUUGUGGCUUUGAGCACCACGCUCCACUUACACACGCUACUGGCAUGAAAAAUUCAGUCUUAAUAUCCCUUCACAUCACUGAAGACAAGAAGAGCAGAAACUCCCCAUCUGCUCUCUCUGCAGUGUUAUUUUAUAUAUUUCUUUUAUACCCUUUGCUUCCUCCAAGGAGAGCUUUUCCUUGAUCUUUGGUCGUUCUUGUCAUUGUUUAAUGCUGCUCUUUUAGAGACAAGAUUACCCACUACACAAAGUGUUCCAGGGGGACCUGCCCCUCUAAUUACAUUUAAUCAUCAUUUUCCCUCAUAUUCCCUACGGAUCCAAAUACCUUGUUCAUUUUUUUACUUGCAGUUCAAGCUGAGCAAAGGUUUUCUGUGAAAGCUUCUGAAGGCUCCUGAUACCAGAACCCUGCAAGCAAGGACCUUCUAAAAAUACCACAGCAUCCCAGGAAAGGAGCCCAGAUAUUACUAGAGAUAACCCAGCUUUUACAAUAGUUGGCUACUAGUUCUGCCAUUGAGCAAUAAUACGCAUUUCCUCACUUUUUAUUGUCUCUUGCAUUCUCUCGUAUGUGGGAAACACUGAGCUACUUUGUUCUUUUUACUGCUUAUUUUCUACAUCGCAAAACCCACUGUUUCCCUUCUUUCUUUUCCAGGAAGACUUCUGAACCAGAAUGAGUGUAGGAAAAAACCCUGUCAUUUUUCUGUUGUUCUUCAAGAAUGCCAAUUUAACUCACAGAGCUGAAAAAGUAGCAGUAGAAAAUUUUUCCUGGCUAAAACUGCUGGGGAUUGGACUUGUUUACCUAGGAGAGACUUUGUAGGACUAUGUCCCAUAUGCACAGGAAUAAGGAUGUUUGUCAUUUCAUAUCACCGGGGCACUGUACCACGCUGGCAGCGCUGAGUCACGCUUCCCUGCAAAGCCAACGUGGCCCUUGGCAAUCAGAAGGAAGCAGAGGUAACUGAAACGCUGCAGUCAGAAGGCUUACCAUAAAAGCAUACUUCAUGGAAACAAGUUGUACUUGAAGAGGUGGACAGACAACACAUCAAGUGAACUAUGGUUGACUGACUCACAAUUUUCUCACCCAACUCUG